GACGAACGCUGGCGGCGUGCUUAACACAUGCAAGUCGAACGGAAAGGCCCCUUUGGGGGUACUCGAGUGGCGAACGGGUGAGUAACACGUGAGUAACCUGCCCUUGACUUCGGGAAAAAUUCAGGAAACUGGGGCUAAUACCGGCUAGGAAUCCUUGCUGCAUGGUGGGGGUUGGAAAGAUUCGGCGGUUUUGGAUGGACUCGCGGCUUAUCAGCUUGUUGGUGGGGUAGUGGCUUACCAAGGCGUUGACGGGUAGCCGGCCUGAGAGGGCGACCGGCCACAUUGGGACUUAGGUACGGCCCAGGCUCCUACGGGAGGCAGCAGUGGGGAAUAUUGCACAAUGGGCGGCAGCCUUAUGCAGCAACGCCGCGUGCGGGAUGACGGCCUUCGGGUUGUAAACCGCUUUCAGCAGGGGCGAAGCUUGUGGUGACGGUACCUGCAGAAGAAGCACCGGCUAACUACGUG
Molecule: ribosomal RNA, 465 nt
Filed under: uncultured bacterium
Lineage: Bacteria
Description: partial 16S ribosomal RNA
Rfam family: Bacterial small subunit ribosomal RNA
Source: RNAcentral